GUGACUGCCACGGGCUCAGGACUGAACCUGGGUGUGUCCAGCUCAACGUUUCUCAGCCACUACGCUGUAUCCCCUCUUCUCUCUGUUGCCUUGGCCCCAGAGCUGCAGUCUGGGACACACACAUAAAGGAGCUGGAAACUUUCACAUCAGAAAGUGAUGCCUGGGGAGCUAAAGGCCUGGGGUCCUCAUCCCUGGUUCUUUCACCUACACUUCGUUAUUAUCACUGUUCAUUGUAUCAGCCCAGUACAUGUUUGUAUAUUCUAGUUGUAAGUCGCUCUGGUUCUUCUGUGUGAGCUGCUGCCACCGCAUGGCACCUGACAGGACUGCCCUGCCUCCUUUCUUCCCUACUCUGCCCUGCUUCAACAUCUCCAAAUCUUCUGUAGAAGAAGGGCGUGGCCACGAGGUUCCUUGCAUUUUACUCUAAGAUGCCUCUGUGGGUGAGAUCCAGCCUGGCACAGUGGUGGGGCACAGACUGCCUGGAUUUGAAUCCUGGGUCUGCUGCUUACCAAAUAUGAGACCUGAAAAGAGUUACUACACUUUUCUCUGCCUCUCUCCCUUUAAUGGGGAUAAUCGUGGUGCCCAUAUAAUAAGAUUAUAAGAAGGAUUAAAUGAAUUAAUUAUAAGAGCUUGUAUUAGUCAAGACAUAUGCUUUAAUAACAAAAAACCCCCCAAAUCUCAGUGGCUUAACCCAACCAAGGUUUAUUUUUCACUCAAGCAGAAUCUUGAUGGGGUUGGGGUAACUCUCCAGAGCCCUCCAUGUGGGACUCAGUGAUCCAGAUUCCCUUCAUCUUGUGAAGCAUCUCAACAUGUGACUCCCAGAGUCUCUCAAAUAGCUCAUAGUGAAAGUGACGUCAUUAUCCUCCCUCAGCCAAUUGGCCAGAAUUAGUCACAUGGGCCCAAUAUAAUUACAGAGGAGUCUGGGAGACACAGGAACUAUUUGGUGAACCCCACUGUCUUCCAGGCCAACAAGAAGCCGUUUAGCAGGGACAGCAGGAGUGAUAAACCCUAUCAAUAUCUGGGAAAGCUGGAGGUCACUUUUCUCCCCACCCCAGCUACUUCGGUAGCCACCUCCUUGGUUCCCUUGGAUGAUCUUCCAGUUCUUUCAAAAUCUCACCCUGGGAUGCUUAUGGGAUCCACGGUUCAGCUUCCCCAGGGCUUUGAUUGUCUUCCUGUUGUCACAUGCCUGAGUUGUUGGAAAGAUGUUGCCACUGACAUUUCCUCUAGGCCUAAUGCAAGACACCAUAUGUUUUUAAAUCCACAGUCUCUGACACAUGGAACUUUGCCUUUUGAAGACAAACAAGCCACACCAAUAGCAAGCAACAACCCGGGGGGAUGGCUAACAGAGGUCUUAUUCAGGGAGGUACUCCAGCCCGGUGUUGGUGAAGAGCCAGGGGUGCUGACCUUUCCUACAGGGACCCACAGGCGUGCCUGGACUCUUUGCCCUCCUCUCGCUUGCGGCGUACACCACUGUUUCUGGGAACGUUCUCCGCUUGACUAAUUCUCCAAUAAUCCUCAUGCCAGUGUGAAAAUCCCACAGUCUCCUUAACCUGCUUCAGGAACUGCUAAGCAAUGCUCGGCUUUGGACCGGUUGAGCUGGGCUUGUGAGCAUCAACGUGAACGGCUUCUUGGGGAAUUACGGCUUGUGUAGGGAACAAGGCUGCUUCUUCAGAUCCAGCCAGCCAUCUGGAGUACGCUCCUCAGAGACAAGAACCUGCUGGAGCUGAGAGGUGGAAUACAGCAUAAACCCUGGGGAAGCUGUGCCCAUCUUUCCAGUCCAGGGCUCAAUAUAUUCAAGUUGGUCCUUCUUUGUUUGCUUCCAUCUUCAAGUGGGAUAGUCUCAACCAGGGAAAGCCAUUCCUCUUCCUUGAUUAUCAUCCUUGGAGUAGUGCCCUGGCGCUAUCUGCCCUCACAGUUGCCUGGAGAAGUGAGAGGACCCAGAGGAGUAAGAUGGACCAAAGACUUUUCAAUUUCUGUUGGGGAAGAGGCUAGGAAUUGGGGAUGGUGGCCAAAGAGGGCCUAACUUUAUCAACAAAGUUCUGAUUAUUUAACCAGGAGAAUGUAUUUGUGUGUUAUUAAUGUAAUUAAAAAUUAAGCAAAGAAAUAAGGUGAACACUCUACGUCUUAGACACUAACAUAAAUGGAUGUACUGGAUACAGUAAAAUGCAUCGAACUGAACUAAACCCAAAAGACAAUAAAAACUUUGGUGACUUAUAAGA
Equus caballus (horse) is the source of this 2216-nucleotide long non-coding RNA. Lineage: Eukaryota; Metazoa; Chordata; Mammalia; Perissodactyla; Equidae. The record is from Ensembl.